RNAcentral lists this ribosomal RNA (508 nucleotides) under uncultured bacterium. RNAcentral's name for it is "bacterial SSU rRNA". It matches the Rfam family "Bacterial small subunit ribosomal RNA", at positions 117 to 621 of the family's 1533-position model. The record is from RNAcentral.
GUGAGAAUCUGCCCAUUUGUGGGGGAUAACUCGGGGAAACUCGAGCUAAUACCGCAUAAUCCCUACGGGGGAAAGCAGGGGACCUUCGGGCCUUGUGCAGAUGGAUGAGCUCGCGUCGGAUUAGCUUGUUGGUGAGGUAAAGGCUCACCAAGGCGACGAUCCGUAGCUGGUCUGAGAGGAUGAUCAGCCACACCGGGACUGAGACACGGCCCGGACUCCUACGGGAGGCAGCAGUGGGGAAUCUUGGACAAUGGGGGCAACCCUGAUCCAGCCAUGCCGCGUGUGUGAAGAAGGCCUUCGGGUUGUAAAGCACUUUCAGUAGGGAGGAAGGCUUACCGCUAAUAACGGUGAGUACUUGACGUUACCUACAGAAGAAGCACCGGCUAAUUUCGUGCCAGCAGCCGCGGUAAUACGAAAGGUGCGAGCGUUAAUCGGAAUUACUGGGCGUAAAGCGCGCGUAGGCGGUUUGUUAAGUCAGAUGUGAAAGCCCCGGGCUCAACCUGGGAAU